GAUGAACGCUGGCGGCGUGCCUAAUACAUGCAAGUCGAGCGAACAGACGAGGAGCUUGCUCCUCUGACGUUAGCGGCGGACGGGUGAGUAACACGUGGAUAACCUACCUAUAAGACUGGGAUAACUUCGGGAAACCGGAGCUAAUACCGGAUAAUAUAUUGAACCGCAUGGUUCAAUAGUGAAAGACGGUUUUGCUGUCACUUAUAGAUGGAUCCGCGCCGCAUUAGCUGGUUGGUAAGGUAACGGCUUACCAAGGCAACGAUGCGUAGCCGACCUGUGAGGGGGAUAGGCCACACUGGAACUGAGACACGGUCCAGACUCCUAAGGGAGGCAGCAGUAGGGAAUCUUCCGCAAUGGGCGAAAGCAUGACGGAGCAAGGGCGCGUGAGUGAUAAAGGUGUUCGGAUCGUAAAACUCUGUUAUGAGGGAAGAACAAAUGUGUAAGUAACUAUGCACGUCUUGACGGUAACUAAUCAGAAAGCCACGGCUAACUACGUG
RNAcentral lists this ribosomal RNA (497 nucleotides) under uncultured bacterium. Its description in RNAcentral is "partial 16S ribosomal RNA". It matches the Rfam family "Bacterial small subunit ribosomal RNA", at positions 28 to 507 of the family's 1533-position model. The record is from RNAcentral.